Long non-coding RNA from Oncorhynchus tshawytscha (Chinook salmon), 1321 nucleotides. Lineage: Eukaryota; Metazoa; Chordata; Actinopteri; Salmoniformes; Salmonidae. The record is from Ensembl.
UGGGAGCCACUGUGGUUGUAGUGGGAGCCGCUGUGGUUGUUGUGGGAGACGCAGUGGUUGUUGUGGGAGCCGCUGUGGUUGUUGUGGGAGUCGCUGUUGUUGUUGUGGGAGCUUCUGUAGUUGUUGUGAGGUAAGCUAUAGUUGUUGUGGGAGCCGCUGUGGUUGUAGUGGGAGCCACUGUGGUUGUAGUGGGAGCCGCUGUGGUUGUAGUGGGGGCGCUGUGGUUGUAGUGGGAGCAGCUGUGGUUGUAGUGGGAGCCACUGAGGUUGUAGUGGGAGCCGCUGUGGUUGUAGUGGGAGCCGCAGUGGUUGUAGUCGGAGCCGCUGUGGUUGUAGUGGGAGCCGCUGUGGUUGUUGUGGGAGCCGCUGUGGUUGUAGUGGGAGCCGCUGUGGUUGUAGUGGGAGCCGCUGUGGUUGUAGUGGGAGCCGCUGUGGUUGUAGUGGGAGUCACAGUGGUUGUAGUGGGAGCCGCUGUGGUUGUAGUGGGAGGCGCUGUGGUUGUAGUGGGAGCAGCUGUGGUUGUAGUGGGAGCCGCUGUGGUUGUAGUGGGAGCCGCUGUGGUUGUAGUGGGAGCCGCUGUGGUUGUAGUGGGAGCCGCUGUGGUUGUUGUGGGAGACGCUGUUGUUGUUGUGGGAGCCUCUGUAGUUGUUGUGAGGUAAGCUGUAGUUGUUGUGGGAGCUUCUGUGGUUGUAGUGGGAGCCACUGUGGUUGUAGUGGGAGCCACUGUGGUUGUAGUGGGGGCGCUGUGGAUGUAGUGGGAGCAGCUGUGGUUGUAGUGGGAGCCACUGUGGUUGUAGUGGGAGGCGCUGUGGUUGUAGUGGGAGCCGCAGUGGUUGUAGUCGGAGCAGCUGUGGUUGUAGUGGGAGCCGCUGUGGUUGUAGUGGGAGACUCUGUGGUUGUUGUGGGAGCCGCUGUGGUUGUUGUGGGAGUCGCUGUGGUUGUUGUGGGAGCCUCCGUGGUUGUUAUGAGGUAAGCUUUGGUUGUUGUGGGAGCCACUGUGGUUGUAGUGGGAGACUCUGUGGUUGUUGUGGGAGCCGCUGUGGUUGUAGUGGGAGCAGCUGUACUUGUAGUGGGAGAUGCUGUGGUUGUAGUGGGAGCCGCUGUGGUUGUAGUGGGAGCCGCUGUGGUUGUAGUGGGAGCCGCUGUGGUUGUAGUGGGAGCCACUGUGGUUGUAGUGGGAGACGCAGUGGUUGUAGUGGGAGCCGCUGUGGUUGUAGUGGGAGCCGCUGUGGUUGUAGUGGGAGCCGCUGUGGUUGUAGUGGGAGCCACAGUGGUUGUAGUGGGAGACGCUGUGGUUGAAGUGGGAGCGGCUGUGGUUGUAG